AGGAGCACCUCGGAUCCCGCCGGCAAACUCCGUCAGAGCCUCAACCCUAUCCCCGUGGAUAGUGAGGAAGAAGGCGAGCGAGUGCCUGUGCGUGGGCUUCCUCGAAAUCUGGUGCAUCGCGAGCCGUUGCUCAGCACCUGCACCACGUUGACCACGCUGAUGCCCUCGGUGGGCUUCGCCGGGGCCCAUCCGCCGCUGCUGUCCCCGAGGACCUCCAGUCCCCCUUCCGGUGAGCUCCCACAGUCCCUCUUCGUUUCUGGUGUUCUUUGAUGGCGACCGUGGUUCGCUUUUGCGCUGUUUUGCUGCUGAAUUUUUCCUAUUUUGCCGCUGAUUUUUGCUGCCUGAGGCUAACUGAGGGGCGAUUUUUGCAUCUGUGCUCAUCGGCGGCGAGGUUGGCCGCUCCGUGUGGUCAGUUUCUACGGCAGAAAUGCUUGUGUUAGUUCGUUUUUUCAUACUUUUUGGCCUCUGAUUUAGUGGAUGAUGUGGCUCGCGAUGGAAGUAGAGGCGAGGCGAUCUUUUCGUCUGUGUCGUGAUCUGCUCAUGCCCGUUGAGUGCCACCUCCUCGUGCUUUUUGAGGGUAAUGGGCGCGUUUGAUCUGUUCGUGCUGUUAUUGUGAAUUUAUGAUGAUUUAUCGCUAGCAAUGGCUCCUGGAGAUGAUUUACCAUGUACCCCAAUGUGGACACUGGAUAGUAAGUUUUUGGCUUCCAGGUCCAAUGACCCUACCUCUACUCAGUUUAUUUUGAGUGCUUGGUGCAGUGUUUUUAUUUCCUAUUGCUAAAUUAUCUGCACGAGUUGUGCUUUCAGAAAUAACCCCCAUUUCGUAGCGACACGGGAAUUGAAAAUUGUCAAAUUUUUUAAUCAUUCUCUGAACAUCAUUUGGGCUUUGAUCCAGACAUGACAUUGAACAAGGAGAGAGCUUUCUAGAAGGCAUGCUCAGGGAUGGUUAGCUUUUGAAGUCGGUCCUCUGGUAUGGUUCUGUUGAAGACUCUGUGGUCAUGGACACUAACUAAAUUUGCUCCGAUGUUGACCACAGAGGUCUCGAGAGGGUCAGGGGAUAGGCAAACGAGACACGAUUUGUUUUUGCUUGUCGGCGAUGGAGUCUGCUUCCGCCGUCUUCUGCUCAGGUGUUGCGAGGCGAAGACGGCAUAGGCAAGAGGGUUUUUUGAUCCAUAAGCUGAUUUAAGUGGUUUAAUGUGUGCUUGCUGCUUUAAGAUGUUCAUUUCAAUAUCUGCUUGCUGUACAGCUUUCCGAUAAGCUACGGAUCAAAGGAGCACCUGUUCAUUUAGUCUAGUAAUUUUGUAUCGCCUAUGCAUGCAUUUGAACUGAUUUAUCUUAAUUAAUAAGACUUGUAUUCCUUCAUUUCGGUUUCAAGAAGCAAGCUCUCACUUCUGUAACACCAAUACUCUCUUAAUAGUUCAGUCUUGGUUUUCGCUGGUUCAAGAAAUUGCCCCCUUCCGUUUCUUCUCUUUACUAAUAGCUAUGUUACUAGUUGUGACAUUUGCAUUCAAACAAUCCACUUUAACAUCAAUAUAGUUAAGGCUGUAAGUGGAGCAGCUAUAACAUUGAUUUCGUUUUGCUUAAUAGUUCCUUAAUAAGGUUUUGUUAUUCUAUAUCCUUGUGGAUUUGCACAUAUUAUACUAUUUCUGCAUUGGCUCGAUUCAGGUCUUUUGGGGUCAUAUUUUAUAGGAGUGGUAAUCUACUUGUGUUUGAAAAAAUGAUGUUUCUUCUGUUUGGGGCUAUAGGACUUGGCACCGAUUUCUGAGAGUUGUCCGAAAACUAUUUUAGACAGGUGAAACUGUAGUGUAGAAGUUAUCUUGUGUUUUUAGAUAUCCUGGGUCAAAGUCCAUUAAUUUCUGGGAUUUUUUUGGUCUUUUUUGUUGCAGGAGCAGAAUUAUUUUGUUAUAGCAAAAAAGAGAUGGUUUUUCUAUAGCACAGUAACAUGUUUUUAUAACAUGAACAGUCGAUUUGUACGCCAUUUGAUGCAUGCAUCAAGAUCCGUGAUUUUUUGGUGGGCUUUUUUCUUUUUCUUUUUCUUUUUUGGCAAUGACCCGGAUGCCUUUUUGUUGGGCUGUGACCUUUAUUGUUGUACACUCUUGAGAGGGUGAGGUGGAGAGUGAGAGUGAGCCCCCCCUCUUGUUCUAGUGCUCUCCAGUGGUUACUGUGGUUCGUUUGCUCGCGUUUUCACUGCUCUUUUUUGGUUUCCUGAGACGAGAGGUGAGGCGAUUUUGGCAUCUGUUCUCGUCGGCUGGCAUUUUCCUUCUAUUAUUGUCAAGGUGAAAACAGCAGAGGCGGUUUCCUUCUAUUAUUGUCAACAGUGGAGUUUGCCGCUUCUUCCGGUGGACAUAACUUGCUGCAUCUUGUAGCAAACAUGCAGACACAUGCUACAGGGAUGGUUCUGAUACAGAUUCAAGCACUCAACCUGAAGCCCCUGGUUAUAAUUGUUCAGCCACUGCACCCUUUUUUUUAAUUAUUCCUAGGCAAUGUGGGUUUUCAGGACAUAUGCAAGGCACUCCCAAAUUUGGUGUGUCCGCUCAAAAUCUUGACCCUGGUUAUACUUUCAAUAAUUUGCAUCGUUAUCUUCAUUUUACUCAUUAUUCGUUUUUCAUAUAAUCUUUGCCUCAUAAUUUUUUCAAGAUGAAUGUUCUCAGGCCCCCUUCAAUUGGUCGAGAGAAGCAAGAUAAGCUAAUGUUCAGUACUUCUUUCUUUUUCAGGAAUCUGUUUUAAAAUUGCACUAUUUUACAAAUGAAAUUGCACCUUUUUUUUGUGGUGCAACAGUAGCUAUGUCAAAAUGCAAUUUUUAGAUAAUAGGCUUCUAGAGGUUGAUUUUUGCUUUUCUAAAUUAUUGAAUCUAUUGAAUUGCAAUCCUAGCUUUAGCCAUUUUUGUUUUGCAAAUUUUAAUUUAAUUGCCUGAUAUUCAUUAGCCAUUACGAAAUCUGUGCUUAAUGGAGUGCUUGUUUUUGCACCCUUUUAGCAUCGUUGAAAUCCUAGUCUUCUUUAUAGAAUGCUUUGUCUAUUUUUAAAUUGUGUAUUUUAAAUUGCAUUCUCCUGUAGAAGUUUUGCACUAUGAUAUCGCUGCAAUCACAAUGUUGCCAAGUUGCAAUUGCACCGCCUCCUCUACUUGUUUUCAUUCAAUUUUUCAUUCUUUUUAAUUUGUACUUGCAACUAUAAUUGCACAUACUUUCUAAUUGCAAUUCCAGCUCGACGAUAUUUCAAUAUAGGCUGCUUCUACUGUAAUGGCACUUUUGUGCUACUGUAAUUGCAGUUUUUUUGUAUAGUGCAAUCCCAGCAUGGCAUCACCGCAAUUGAUUUUUGUUCCACUCCCAGCAACUGUAAUUGUAUAUUGUUGUUAAGUAUAAACCCCCAUCAUAUUGUAUAUGGAUUUUUCUUCCACUCCAGCAUGGCUGGUUUGUAUAGUGCACUUUCUAGUUAUGUACUUUAUUAUGCU
Long non-coding RNA from Brachypodium distachyon (stiff brome), 3445 nucleotides. RefSeq lists it as uncharacterized. The transcript has 5 exons. The record is from RefSeq and is a predicted model, not a curated record. Lineage: Eukaryota; Viridiplantae; Streptophyta; Magnoliopsida; Poales; Poaceae.